Molecule: ribosomal RNA, 461 nt
Filed under: uncultured beta proteobacterium
Lineage: Bacteria; Pseudomonadati; Pseudomonadota; Betaproteobacteria
Description: bacterial SSU rRNA
Rfam family: Bacterial small subunit ribosomal RNA
Source: RNAcentral
AGGAAAGUAGGGGAUCGCAAGACCUUGCGCUCUUGGAGCGGCCGAUGUCUGAUUAGCUAGUUGGUGAGGUAAAGGCUUACCAAGGCGACGAUCAGUAGCUGGUCUGAGAGGACGACCAGCCACACUGGGACUGAGACACGGCCCAGACUCCUACGGGAGGCAGCAGUGGGGAAUUUUGGACAAUGGGGGAAACCCUGAUCCAGCCAUGCCGCGUGAGUGAAGAAGGCCUUCGGGUUGUAAAGCUCUUUCAGCCGGAACGAAACGGUCACGGCUAAUACCUGUGACUACUGACGGUACCGGAAGAAGAAGCACCGGCUAACUACGUGCCAGCAGCCGCGGUAAUACGUAGGGUGCAAGCGUUAAUCGGAAUUACUGGGCGUAAAGCGUGCGCAGGCGGUUUUGUAAGUCAGAUGUGAAAUCCCCGGGCUUAACCUGGGAACUGCGUUUGAAACUACAAGGCU